CAGCCGCCGCGGGAAUACGUAGGUGGCAAGCGUUGUCCGGAAUUAUUGGGCGUAAAGGGCUCGCAGGCGGUUUCUUAAGUCUGAUGUGAAGCCCCCGGCUCAACCGGGGAGGGUCGUUGGAAACUGGGUAACUUGAGUGCAGAAGAGGAGAGUGGAAUUCCACGUGUAGCGGUGAAAUGCGUAGAGAUGUGGAGGAACACCAGUGGCGAAGGCGACUCUCUGGUCUGUAACUGACGCUGAGGAGCGAAAGCGUGGGGAGCGAACAGGAUUAGAUACCCGGGUAGUCCCUGUCUCUUAUACA
This 301-nucleotide ribosomal RNA is filed under the name uncultured bacterium. Its description in RNAcentral is "partial 16S ribosomal RNA". It matches the Rfam family "Bacterial small subunit ribosomal RNA", at positions 509 to 808 of the family's 1533-position model. The record is from RNAcentral.